UGGGGAAUUUUGGACAAUGGGCGAAAGCCUGAUCCAGCAAUGCCGCGUGUGUGAAGAAGGCCUUCGGGUUGUAAAGCACUUUUGUCCGGAAAGAAAUCCUUGGCUCUAAUACAGUCGGGGGAUGACGGUACCGGAAGAAUAAGCACCGGCUAACUACGUGCCAGCAGCCGCGGUAAUACGUAGGGUGCAAGCGUUAAUCGGAAUUACUGGGCGUAAAGCGUGCGCAGGCGGUUUGCUAAGACCGAUGUGAAAUCCCCGGGCUCAACCUGGGAACUGCAUUGGUGACUGGCAGGCUAGAGUAUGGCAGAGGGGGGUAGAAUUCCACGUGUAGCAGUGAAAUGCGUAGAGAUGUGGAGGAAUACCGAUGGCGAAGGCAGCCCCCUGGGCCAAUACUGACGCUCAUGCACGAAAGCGUGGGGAGCAAAACAGGAUUAGAUACCCUGGUAGUCCACGCCCUAAACGAUGUCAACUAGUUGUUGGGGAUUCAUUUCCUAGUAACGUAGCUAACGCGUGAAGUUGACCGCCUGGGGAGUACGGUCGCAAGAUUAAAACUCAAAUGAAUUGACGGGGUCAUAGCUGUUUCCU
This 585-nucleotide ribosomal RNA is filed under the name uncultured bacterium. RNAcentral describes it as "partial 16S ribosomal RNA". It matches the Rfam family "Bacterial small subunit ribosomal RNA", at positions 355 to 1375 of the family's 1533-position model. The record is from RNAcentral.